RNAcentral lists this microRNA precursor (56 nucleotides) under Heligmosomoides polygyrus. Its description in RNAcentral is "microRNA hpo-mir-10035 precursor". The record is from miRBase by way of RNAcentral. Lineage: Eukaryota; Metazoa; Nematoda; Chromadorea; Rhabditida; Heligmosomidae.
UCUAGGUGCGUCCUACAAAAUCCAGCACAUGAGGUUUUGUAUGCGUAACCUAGGCG